GGCUCAUUAUAUAAGUUAUCGUUUAUUUGAUAGUACCUUACUACAUGGAUAACCGUGGAAANUCUNNAGCUAAUACAUGCUGAAAAUCCCGACUUCGGAAGGGAUGUAUUUAUUAGAUACAAAACCAAUGCCCUUCGGGGCUCUCUUGGUGAUUCAUGAUAACUUCUCCAAUCGCACGGCCCCGCGCCGGCGAUGGUUCAUUCAAAUUUCUUCCCUAUCAACUUUCGAUGCUACGGUAUUGUCCUAGCAUGGUUGCAACGGGUGACGGAGGGUUAGGGCUCGACCCCGGAGAAGGAGCCUGAGAAACGGCUACUACAUCCAAGGAAGGCAGCAGGCGCGCAAAUUACCCAAUCCCGACUCGGGGAGGUAGUGACGAUAAAUACCGAUACAGGGCUCUUUUGGGUCCUGUAAUUGGAAUGAGUACAAUUCAAAUCCCUUAACGAGGAACAAUUGGAGGGCAAGUCUGGUGCCACCAGCCGCGGAAAUUCCAGCUCCAAUAGCGUAUAUUAAAGUUGUUGUGGUUAAAAAGCUCGUAGUAGAAGAUCGGGCUCCGGCCGACCGGUUCGCCUCACCGAGUGUACUGGUUAGGCCGGGUAUUCACCUUUUGCGGAACCGCAUUUCCUUCACUGGGGGGUGUCGGGGGAAACAGGGACGGUUUACUGGGGAAAAAAUUAAAAGUGCUCCNUGGCAGGGCCUAUGCUCCAAAUAAGAUUAA
This 715-nucleotide ribosomal RNA is filed under the name Plectosphaerella sp. RNAcentral's name for it is "SSU rRNA". It matches the Rfam family "Eukaryotic small subunit ribosomal RNA", at positions 95 to 807 of the family's 1831-position model. The record is from RNAcentral. Lineage: Eukaryota; Fungi; Ascomycota; Sordariomycetes; Glomerellales; Plectosphaerellaceae.